This is a non-coding RNA of Acanthosepion pharaonis, 107 nucleotides long. The record is from the annotation of a GenBank genome assembly. NCBI's taxonomy places the organism in Eukaryota, Metazoa, Mollusca, Cephalopoda, Sepiida, Sepiidae.
UUACGGCCGUAUCACGUUGAAACAUCGGUUCCCGUGCGAUCACCAAAAUUAAACAAAGUUGAUCCUGGUCAGUACCUAGAUGUAUGACCGCUUCGGAAUACUAGGUA